Molecule: ribosomal RNA, 1440 nt
Filed under: Hexamita nelsoni
Lineage: Eukaryota; Fornicata; Diplomonadida; Hexamitidae
Description: partial small subunit ribosomal RNA
Rfam family: Eukaryotic small subunit ribosomal RNA
Source: RNAcentral
AUGUAUAAGCUAAUACAACGGUGAAACUGCGAACGGCUCAUUAUAUCAGUUGAAAUGUCUGGUGCUUUAUACGUAGUCGGCUAAUACGGGCAACUCUCUUACUAUUCGUGCUUUGUUACAUCAAUAGUGGGCUUGCCCGGGUUGAGUUACGUUGUAAAUAUGACUGCUUGGCAGGCACCAUCAGCUUCUGACGCAUCAUCAUGUAGGAGGAGUAAAGUUCCUCCUAUGAGAUCACGCGAACGGGGAAUUAGGGUUCGACUCCGGAGAAUGAGCAUGAGAGACGGCUCAUAGUUCCAAGGAAGGCAGCAGGCGCGGAAAUUGCCCAAUGUACAGUCGUACGAGGCAGUGACGAGGAAUCUCGAACUGACUUCGGUCAGUAUUAAGCUGAGCCAGGCUUAUAUAACCUGGCUAACGCAAUUAGUGGGAGAGCAUGGUGCCAGCAGCCGCGGUAAUUCCAUCACUGAUAGCUUUCUCUUACGUUGCUGCAGUUAAAAAGCUCGUAGCUCUUAUUAGCGCAAGCGAGUCACUUUGAGAAAGUCGGAGUGUUCAUAACAGGGUAGCUGCUGCACAGUACAGCAAAGCAUGACAUCACUGCCCAGCGAUGGACGGUAUGUAGUAUAUGGUAGCACGGGAUUGAUAGUAUUGGAUGGGGACAGGUGAAAUAGGAUGAUCCAUCCAGGACUCUCUGCAGCGAAGGCUGUCGGUAAGUGCUAUUCAGUUGGUCAAGAGCGAAAGUGCGAGGAUAGACGAUGAUUAGAAACCGUUUUAUUUCGUGCCUUAAACGAUACCAUCUCAGAAGCGGUCGACUACGAUCGCAUCUCCAGGGAAACCGUAAGGCUUCGGGUUCUGGGGGGAGUAUGAUUGCAAGAUUGAAACUUGAAGGUAUUGACGGAAAGAUACCACAAGACGUGGAGUCUGCGGCUCAAUUUGACUCAACACGCAAAUCUUACCAGACCCAGAUGCUUUACGGAACAACAGAUUGAGAGUUCUUUUGUGAUUAGGCAGUUGGUGGUGCAUGGCCGCUCCUAGUUCGUGGUGUAAACUGUCUGCCUUAUUGCGUUAACGAGCGAGACAACCGCCUCAAUCCUUGAGGAAGCGCCAGCGUUGAGCUGGACGAACGUGGUUGCUCUAGCAGGUCUGUGAUGCCCUUAGACACUCUGGGCCGCACGCGUACUACAAUGUUGGCUGCACAUCGUCGCUUUGCCUGAAGGCAUGGCUAUUCGUGCGGACCGCCAACGUGGUAGGGAUUGAAGCUUGGAAUUAUUCUUCAUGAACGAGGAAUGUCUUGUAAGUAUGUGUUAUAAUCACAUGCUGACUGCGUCCCUGUCUUUUGUACACACCGCCCGUCGCUCCUACCGACUUGGAUGCUUUGGUGAGUUGCUCGGAGUUCGGCUUGCAAAAGCUGGAUGAAGUUCUGCGAACCUAAAUGUCUGGAGGAAG